This 205-nucleotide long non-coding RNA is filed under the name Prunus persica (peach). RNAcentral describes it as "long non-coding RNA (PPER_LNC007562)". The record is from RNAcentral. Lineage: Eukaryota; Viridiplantae; Streptophyta; Magnoliopsida; Rosales; Rosaceae.
AUAAAUUGAGUACACCAUAUGAUUUAAGUACACCCUAAUAUUUUAAUUAAAAUUUAAAUUUAACUAAGUACGUCCUAUUUAACUACCAAAAAUACCCCUGAUACAUCAUAAUACACUCUAUCACACAACACCCUAAUACCAAUCCUAACGGAGAUUACUAUUACUUUACAAUCAUUGGUUGCAUCUUGAAUUCCAGCCACACCAU